Molecule: unclassified non-coding RNA, 2211 nt
Filed under: Leishmania donovani
Lineage: Eukaryota; Euglenozoa; Kinetoplastea; Trypanosomatida; Trypanosomatidae
Description: gene:LdHU3.36.4740(CDS-product:actin-like_protein _putative)
Source: RNAcentral
UGUGCGAAGCCUCGCCGCAUCCCCUCCAAGCAACUUCACUGUUGUCCCCGUAUUCUCUUCUUCGUCGUUCGCGGCCCUCGGCUAGGCAGUGCCAUCAUGACCGGUGUCUCGGCUAGCAUACAGAGCGUGGUGGUGGACGUUGGCACGCGCAACACUCGUGUAGGCUUCAGCGGUGAGGAGGCACCUCGUACGAUGCUCCGCAGCUGCGUAGGGCUUCCUGGCACGAGGCGGCCGCGCCCAACGCUCCUCCAGCACCCAUUCGACAUUGCAACUGGCGAUGCAGCCUACAACGACGGCGGCCUUCUGUCGCUCACGUACCCUGUGAGAGCAGGCCACGUGUAUGACUACGACGCACUCGAGAAGCUUCUGUUUUAUGCACUCGUGGAAGAGGCCCGCGUCACGCCGGACGCAUCGCCGUUUCUCUUUCUGGAGCCCGCUGAUCAGUCGCGACUCGCCCGAGAGCGCCUCUGCGAGCUGCUGUUCGAGUCCUUUAACAUUCCCCUCGCAGGGCUGCUGACGAACACGGCGGCCACACUCUACUCGAGUGGGCGCACGAGAGGGUUGGCGCUUGACAGUGGCGCCGGCCGCACCUGCGUUGCAGCAGUAGAGGAAGGGUACACCUUAGCACACUCGGUGCGGUCGUCCUCUAUUGCGGGCGAGGCGCUGACCGAUGAGCUCUUUGCCGCGCUGCGAGCAGGUGGGUACCCGCUCUCCACCGCCGCUGACCGCGACGUUGUGGAAGCCGCGAAGGAAGCGCUGUGCCGCGUAUCCGCCGACGCGAAGGACGAGGAGGCUAGGCAGGUCGGCACGCACUCCCAUCCAGACCCCGCCGACGGGUUCAUCCUGCCCGAUCAGGAGCGCAUUUUCCUCCUCGAGCACGCCUACAAAGUUCCUGAGGCGCUGUUCGACAGCACGUACCUCACCUACACCACCGCCAUGUCGGCAGAGCGGCCCACCACCCCAACGGGGUACUCGCAGAGCAACCCCAUUGUGAAAAAGACGUUAAGUGGUUGGGUAGGCAUGCUAUGCGAUGCCGCCGCCGCCGCCCCGCGGAUCCUUGAGCAGGUGCUUUACGAGAACGUCGUUCUUGGCGGCGGCAGUACGCUUUUCCCUGGCACGGAGCAGCGCGUGCAGCGAGAGAUUGCUGACAUCGCUCCUAAAGGGGUGCGGGCCACCUGCGUGGCGUUCCCAGAGCGUGGGGCGGCGGCGUGGAUGGGGGCGUCCAUCUGGGGUUGCAGCAGCGUCUUCCCGGACACGUGCCUUGCCAAGGCCACGUACGACGAGCAGGGCAGCAGCGUCGUGCAUCUUUACACACAGUAGGCGACAGCGCGGGGCAGAUCAGACGGCAGCUGCCGCGCCAUCCAAAGGAGGUCAUAAGCAAUACCUGCUUCCAUGUGCACCACACAAUCACACACCCACACACACUGGUCACUACUGUCUCACUAAUACGAGAGCAGCACACGUGUUGGCCCUUGCAGGCACAGCAAGAGGUAGUCGCCGCUCUAUUUCCCCGUCUUGUGUCCCCCGCAUGUAAACCACAUCUAUCCUUUUUCUUUUGGGUUUCUUUCUUGUCUUUCCUUUUUCUCUCCUGCUCUGCGAGGUGAAGAAGAUGCCAUGUGAUUGUCUGCAUGCAUGCGCGUGUGUGUAUGUAUAUGUCUCGAGCGCACAUACAUGCAUACACGAGUGCCGCCCCAGCCCACGGUGCUUAUGAACACAACAAGGAAACAGGAAAAUGACGAAAAAAGGAGGAGGAUGAGAAACAGUGGUGUAUAUCCCACGUUAACGCGGCGGCGCUUCUGGCUGUUUAGGUGCUCGCGCGAGUCGAACAGCUUUUUGCGUGUUUGUGCCCACGCAAGCAACGAGCAAUACCCCCUACAUCCUGCCACGCGCACAUGCCGCUGUGUGUGUGUGUGUUGGGGGAGGGGGUAAACGCUAUCGCGAGAGAGUGCGGAAGCGAUGCCAGGCGCACGUGCAGGUGAAAACAAGUGCCCUACUGCAAGGUGACGCGACGGUAGGAGUUUGUGGAGCUGCGAUGGCCGACGUGCAUGCUUUACCUCAGGGCAUGUACUGUCUUCCUCCACCUUGCUUUUCGCGUACCACCUUCCUCGGCUUUGGCUUCGCUAUGCUCCCCCCCCCGUCUCACGAGGGUCCGCUUGGUCCUCUCCUCUUCUCUCUUCUCUGCUUUCGCGGGUGUUUUUCUAUUCUUAUCAG